GAAUAUUGGUCAAUGGUGGGAACACUGAACCAGCUAUCCCGCGUGCAGGAUGAAGGCCCUCUGGGUUGUAAACUGCUUUUACCAGGGAAGAAACGUGUGGAUUUAUCUGCACCUGACGGUACCUGGGGAAUAAGCAGCGGCUAAGUCCGUGCCAGCAGCCGCGGUAAUACGGAGGGUGCAAGCGUUAUCCGGAAUCACUGGGUUUAAAGGGUGCGUAGGCGGCUUGAUAAGUCAGAGGUGAAAGCUCACGGCUCAACCGUGGAAUUGCCUUUGAUACUGUCAGGCUUGAAUUAGGUUGAGGCAAGCGGAAUGUGACAUGUAGCGGUGAAAUGCUUAGAUAUGUCAUAGAACACCGAUUGCGAAGGCAGCUUGCCAAGCCUUGAUUGACGCUGAGGCACGAAAGCGUGGGGAGCGAACAGG
This 420-nucleotide ribosomal RNA is filed under the name uncultured bacterium. Its description in RNAcentral is "bacterial SSU rRNA". It matches the Rfam family "Bacterial small subunit ribosomal RNA", at positions 359 to 776 of the family's 1533-position model. The record is from RNAcentral.